CUCCCGAUCCCCCUACCUCUCUCUCUCCUUGGCCUAACUUCCCAGGGAUACAAGAGUUCCGUCCGUUCACCGGUGGCCUGAGAGAUUGUUUAAGGUGAUAUUUUGCAACUCGAGUAAAAGUUCAAGUGGCAUUGCUAUAAAUUUCCCCGACUUUCACUCCAAUCUAUGUUUCCAAGUGUCGAUCUUACCCCAUCAGAAUUCUUUGGAAGGAGAAAUUUUUAGUUAUAAUAGGAAUACGGAUGAUACUCUACGUGUUUUUAUGCAAGUGGUGGAAAAUUUUAAUUUUUAAGUUAUUAACUUUUUAAGACACAUAACUCACUAUUUAUUUAGGGAUACGUGGUGUAACAUCUCAUGUGACGACCAAGUGACCAUCAGAGUUGAUCACGAUGAUAUGCAUUCAAGAUCUUCCUGACCCUUUAUUGGUUGAAAUCCUUUAUCGACUUCCUUGCAGUAAAGUUGUUUUUCAGUGCAAAAGUGUGUCGAAGCGUUGCUUACGUCUCAUCUCCGAUCCUUCUUUUCUUCGCCGUUUUCUAUGUGUCCAAAGCGUUCAACAGAAGCCCAUCCUAAGUACUCUAGUUAUAUUGGCCUUUAGCGACGUGGAGCUAGGGGGCACAAAACUGAAGUCUUUCUUCCGCCCGCCCCACAAGUCCACAAUGGUGAAGUUGCACCAUUGGGAGUGGGAUUCAUGUGUGAUCCAUACUACAACUCCUCUUCUCGAGAAGACAGUAGCAGUACAAGUUUUGAUAUCAUCCAGCUUAAUACUGAGUAUAGGUGGACGAUUGUGCGAAUGGUUUGGAAUUUGUCAGAUGCUGGCUACCAUGUGGAGAUGAUCUCUUCUGAGACUAGAGGUGAAUGGAGAGAAUUGGCUCUGUUAGGCAGCCCACAACAGUUAAAACACUUGCGAAAUAUUCAUACUGAUAUUGAAGGUUUCAUUUCUUAUUCAGCUGUUGCUCACAAUAGAAAGUUUUAUUGGUUGCCUAAUACUUCUGAAUGUACUUUUGAGUUGGAUCCAUUCAUUGCUAAUAGUAAUGGUGAUAAUGUUGCUAAAUGUCA
Pyrus x bretschneideri (Chinese white pear) is the source of this 1053-nucleotide long non-coding RNA. RefSeq lists it as uncharacterized. The transcript is spliced from 2 exons. The record is from RefSeq and is a predicted model, not a curated record. Lineage: Eukaryota; Viridiplantae; Streptophyta; Magnoliopsida; Rosales; Rosaceae.